RNAcentral lists this ribosomal RNA (279 nucleotides) under uncultured bacterium. RNAcentral's name for it is "partial 16S ribosomal RNA". It matches the Rfam family "Bacterial small subunit ribosomal RNA", at positions 506 to 784 of the family's 1533-position model. The record is from RNAcentral.
UGCCAGCCGCCGCGGUAAUACGGAGGGGGCUAGCGUUGUUCGGAUUCACUGGGUAUAAAGGGUUCGUAGGCGGGCUAUUAAGUCAGAGGUGAAAGCCACCGGCUCAACCGGUGAAUUGCCUCUGAUACUGGUAGUCUUGAGUCCGUUAGGGGGUGGUGGAAUUCCUGGUGUAGCGGUGAAAUGCGUAAAUAUCAGGAGGAACACCAGUGGCGAAGGCGACCACCUGGCCAAAGACUGACGCUCAUGUGCGAAAGUGUGGGUAGCGAACAGGAUUAGAUU